UCCCGACUCGGGAUCCCACCUGUCCGUAACUGAACCAAAGUGGGGGAUAACAGAUUUCAUGGGAGCCUGUCACUUCCCACCUGACCUAAUCUCUCUCUCUCUCUCUCUCUCUCUCUCUCUCUCUCUCUGUGCUACACUUGGAGUUGGUGCUCUCCGUAUCCCUCCCGUUUCCUAAACAACCACUGAAACCCUAACCAGUACCUAAUAUCCGGCAAUUUUUCACCGCAUGUCUCAACUACCGGAGGAAGUCAUCGCCGACAUACUCUCCCGAUUACCCGUAAAACCCCUCGGCCAAUUCAAGCUAGUGUCCAUACCCUGGCGCUCCCUGAUCGAAAGCCCUACUUUCGUCAAACUCCACCUCAACCGCUCGAUCGACACCAAAUCCAACCAAGCCCUAAUCUUACGAGAGGAGCAGCUCUACUCGGUCGAAUUCGAUUCGCUCGACGGGCCCUUCGCGGACGCCGCGAAGCUCGACCACCACCCGCUGAGGUGCCAGGACUACGGGACCGAGGUAUGGGGCUCUUGCAAUGGCAUAGUGUGCUUGUCUAAUUCGUUAGAUACCGUCGUUUUAUGGAACCCUUCCACUCGAAGAUCGCGUAGGUUGCCUUACGCGCCGAUAGAGUUCCCGAACCAGCCGAGGUAUUUCGUGAGUAGGGUUUACGGGUUCGGGUACGAUGGUGUGAGUGAUGACUAUAAGCUUGUUAGGAUUGUGGUGCUCAAGGGUAGGGAGGAUGAUUCUUUGCACUAUGAGGUUAAGGUUUAUAGUUUGAGGUCGAAUUUGUGGCAUAGGGUUGAGGAGAAAUUCCCACACUACCCUGAUUUGAAUAGAGUGGGGGGUGUGUUAGCUAGUGGCAAUUUGCACUGGAUUGUGAAUGAAGAGACCGAGCGGGGUAAGACGAACUUGAUUGUUUCUUUUGAUCUAGGGUGUGAGGAGUAUGGGUUGGUGCCACAACCCGAGUUUACGCAUCCGAGAUUCUAUGCGGAUGUGGAGGUUUUGGGAGGAUGCCUUUCAUUGAUUUGCAAUUAUUACUUGACCCAUAUUGAUAUAUGGGUGAUGAAAGAGUAUGGUGUGAAGGAAUCUUGGACAAAGUUGAUUUCCAUGGCGCAACCGGGUACAUUGAGGUCUUUUCAGAAUGUGAGACCCAUUGGCUAUUCAAAGAGCGGCGGGCAAUUAUUGUUACAACAUGGCCCUCUGAAGCUCCUUUGGUAUGACCUUAAAAGGAAGACAUGCAAGAGUGUUAAAAUCCGUGAUGUACACGAUUUGUCGCAAGUAGUGAUGUGCGUGGGAAGCCUUGUUUCGCUCAAAAGUGGUAGAGGUGAACGUGAACGAAAGAAGAAGCAAGAACAAGAAGAGAAGAAUAUGGGUGGUUUCCUGUCAACGGGGUUCAAACUGGUGCUAUAAGCUACUGGAAGAAGAAGCAGAGUAGCUAUAUGGCAGAGAGGUAGAUAACUUGGAAGCUUUUCAUGAUAGUUUCCUUGCUUGGCUGUAUAUAUUUCAACACUGGCUCUAGGUUUCCCAAGUGAAGUUUGGUUUUGAAGUUUGCAAUGCACCUGGCAAAAGCUGCUCGCGAAGGAGGAUUGCAUCUCUUUCUGCACAGAAGCUCUGGCUUUGCGAGAAGCUGUGACCGGCUGGAGGGGCCUCAAUACAGUUGUUGUUUGUUUAGUGCAACUAUUAUUAGGUUAAUAAACUCACUAACUGGCUUGACAUCUUAUUUGAAUAAGUGCCUGGAUUAGCAAGUAGCUGAAGCACUGAUCUUGAAAAGCAGGCCCUGGAAUGUAGACUCAGCGUUGUGUUGUAUGUGGCCUGUGUUGUAAUAAAGUUCUUGUUUUAGGAAAGCAGAAAAGAUAGUUUGUUUGCACGGGGCCCCUUUGUGUACUGACUACUGAGGUCCUUAACUGUAUACUGUCUUGUAGUAGUAAUGAGAAAGGACCGGAGUGAUUAUUCAGUGCUCGUGGAGCACCGCCA
Molecule: RNA transcript, 1966 nt
Organism: Rhododendron vialii
Lineage: Eukaryota; Viridiplantae; Streptophyta; Magnoliopsida; Ericales; Ericaceae
Gene name: F-box protein CPR1-like
Exons: 4
Source: RefSeq, a predicted model, not a curated record